GACUGCUCCUUCACACAGUGCCUGCCUGCAUCACCGCUCCUGCUGCGUAUUCUGCAAGUUUGUUCCUCUUUCAAUGCUACCUGCCUGGGUGUGGGGGACUGAAUUUAAAGUCAGUGUAUUGUCCCUGGAAGGUUUUACUUGAGUGGUAGGUGCUGCUUGCCCUACUGGUUUAUGGGUUGACCCCCUAUUACUUACAUGUAAUUUAGUUAUUAAGGGGAGCCUGCUGUUGCUGUCUCCUAAACUGGCUGAGCCAUGGUUGUUUGACCACGUUUGUUAUACGGCCUGUAUUUACUGUGGCUGAUUUUAUUCUGCCAAACUGUCUGUACACUUUUUUUAAGACUAAGAUGGGGCUCGACCUUCAUGCGGGCUGGACGAGUUUCAUGAGCGCCCCCUGCCUGUAACCCAACGUAUGGACUAAAUCAACUAAUACCCAUCCUAACGCUAGCUACAAUGAGACAUACCUCAUCUCUGCCUAAGCUGGUCCAGGUUGAGCGUCGGUUAGACGUAAUUUUGGUCUUAUU
Molecule: non-coding RNA, 521 nt
Organism: Pelobates cultripes (western spadefoot toad)
Lineage: Eukaryota; Metazoa; Chordata; Amphibia; Anura; Pelobatidae
Source: the annotation of a GenBank genome assembly